This 1061-nucleotide long non-coding RNA is filed under the name Bos mutus (wild yak). Its description in RNAcentral is "lncRNA (ENSBMUG00000005267.1)". The record is from RNAcentral. Lineage: Eukaryota; Metazoa; Chordata; Mammalia; Artiodactyla; Bovidae.
GAAUUAAGUUAAGUGCUUGGAGAAUCAUACUUCCAGCAUUCCUGGGACACUGAUGCUGCCUCUCCUAACUUUAUAAACCAGUAACCAGACUGAUAUCGGUUCAUCCUGAGAGUGAAGGAGGAGCAAGUGGGAUGCUGGCAAGAGGAGCUUCUCAUGCCACAGUUUCUGGAACAUGGGGCUGAAAACACCAGGAGGGCUGCGAUGUGGACCUAGAAAGCCCAAGGAGUGGCCCACGGAAAUGAGUGUCAGAAGUGGAGCCGACCUGCUGGGACGGGACUACAUGCCUGAAAGGGAUGGUGAGCAGCAAAUCCACAGAGAAGCAAGAGAAGCAAGUAACCUCUGUGAGAAUGGAGCCCAGCUACCCGGAACGCUGUUGAAGGGACUAAGGAUGUCUGUGUGUCUCGACCCCCACUACUUUCUGGAAUAGUUCUCACUCUCGGUUAUCCACGGGAAUUGGGGGUGGGGGAGAGGGCUGAGGGAGGAUCAGCCCCCAACACACAGAGAAAUGUCACAUCCAUCUCAGUCAACUCAGCUUCCCUCUGAACCACAUGUUAAUCGUGACUAUUCCCCCAUCCUUUAUGUUAAUGCUUUGAAUUUUGGGUGGAGACACUCAAAGACAACGAAGCAGGAGGACCCGGGUCAUAGCUAAUGCGUGUACCACACUCAGUAACCCACAGGAGUCUGACACAGCAGGCUGCCUUCCUACUCAAGACCUUCCUUGACCUGACGAGUCUGUGGCCUGAUGACUCUCCUAGCCUCUGGGAUGAAGGCGAGGCCAGGCACCAGGAACUGGUGCAGAUUUCCUUAAGAGUCUCCCCUGCAGGAUGGGAGGUUUUGCAAGAAGGUCCCCAGUGAGUUGAAGCCACCUGUUUCUCUGGGAGCAACCCGAGGGCAGUGGGCAAUGCCUCUGGCUUCCCAGAAUGCCCUGUGCAGCACCUGGGCAGAGCAGCCUGGGGUCUGAACAGCACAACCUCCAAGUCUUGGUCCAGGGCCUCAACAGCCAAGGCUACAGGGGCAAAGAAGACCAUCCUCUGGACCUGCUGGAGAUGAAGAGGGUCCCA